AGAGUUUGAUCAUGGCUCAGAUUGAACGCUGGCGGCAGGCCUAACACAUGCAAGUCGAACGGUAACAGGAAGCAGCUUGCUGCUUCGCUGACGAGUGGCGGACGGGUGAGUAAUGUCUGGGAAACUGCCUGAUGGAGGGGGAUAACUACUGGAAACGGUAGCUAAUACCGCAUAAUGUCGCAAGACCAAAGAGGGGGACCUUCGGGCCUCUUGCCAUCGGAUGUGCCCAGAUGGGAUUAGCUUGUUGGUGGGGUAACGGCUCACCAAGGCGACGAUCCCUAGCUGGUCUGAGAGGAUGACCAGCCACACUGGAACUGAGACACGGUCCAGACUCCUACGGGAGGCAGCAGUGGGGAAUAUUGCACAAUGGGCGCAAGCCUGAUGCAGCCAUGCCGCGUGUAUGAAGAAGGCCUUCGGGUUGUAAAGUACUUUCAGCGGGGAGGAAGGGAGUAAAGUUAAUACCUUUGCUCAUUGACGUUAUCCGCAGAAGAAGCACCGGCUAACUCCGUGCCAGCAGCCGCGGUAAUACGGAGGGUGCAAGCGUUAAUCGGAAUUACUGGGCGUAAAGCGCACGCAGGCGGUUUGUUAAGUCAGAUGUGAAAUCCCCGGGCUCAACCUGGGAACUGCAUCUGAUACUGGCAAGCUUGAGUCUCGUAGAGGGGGGUAGAAUUCCAGGUGUAGCGGUGAAAUGCGUAGAGAUCUGGAGGAAUACCAGUGGCGAAGGCGGCCCCCUGGACGAAGACUGACGCUCAGGUGCGAAAGCGUGGGGAGCAAACAGGAUUAGAUACCCUGGUAGUCCACGCCGUAAACGAUGUCGACUUGGAGGUUGUGCCCUUGAGGCGUGGCUUCCGGAGCUAACGCGUUAAGUCGACCGCCUGGGGAGUACGGCCGCAAGGUUAAAACUCAAAUGAAUUGACGGGGGCCCGCACAAGCGGUGGAGCAUGUGGUUUAAUUCGAUGCAACGCGAAGAACCUUACCUGGUCUUGACAUCCACGGAAGUUUUCAGAGAUGAGAAUGUGCCUUCGGGAACCGUGAGACAGGUGCUGCAUGGCUGUCGUCAGCUCGUGUUGUGAAAUGUUGGGUUAAGUCCCGCAACGAGCGCAACCCUUAUCCUUUGUUGCCAGCGGUCCGGCCGGGAACUCAAAGGAGACUGCCAGUGAUAAACUGGAGGAAGGUGGGGAUGACGUCAAGUCAUCAUGGCCCUUACGACCAGGGCUACACACGUGCUACAAUGGCGCAUACAAAGAGAAGCGACAUCGCGAGAGCAAGCGGACCUCAUAAAGUGCGUCGUAGUCCGGAUUGGAGUCUGCAACUCGACUCCAUGAAGUCGGAAUCGCUAGUAAUCGUGGAUCAGAAUGCCACGGUGAAUACGUUCCCGGGCCUUGUACACACCGCCCGUCACACCAUGGGAGUGGGUUGCAAAAGAAGUAGGUAGCUUAACCUUCGGGAGGGCGCUUACCACUUUGUGAUUCAUGACUGGGGUGAAGUCGUAACAAGGUAACCGUAGGGGAACCUGCGGUUG
This 1522-nucleotide ribosomal RNA is filed under the name Shigella dysenteriae. RNAcentral's name for it is "bacterial SSU rRNA". It matches the Rfam family "Bacterial small subunit ribosomal RNA". Lineage: Bacteria; Pseudomonadati; Pseudomonadota; Gammaproteobacteria; Enterobacterales; Enterobacteriaceae. The record is from RNAcentral.